CUUACACAGAGACGCUUGCUGCUUGGUGCCUGUAGAGGGAGCUGCAGUGACAGCGCAGCACACAGCUCCUCUCAGGAGGUACUGUACGUGUAUGUGAGUUGUGAGGUGAAAGAGAAAAAGGCUGGUGAGGGUACUGAGUAGGCAGUGGAUGUGUCCAAUACACUCAUGGAAUCCAGUGUGAUGGCAUGUGGCCUCCAUUAGCAAGGAUCGACUCAUAAUCCACCGCUAUUAUGGACAACAGACAGAGGGGUCAUGUAGGAAGCAGACCAGAUGGAUGAAGAGAGCAAAUGCCAUUUCUUAACUUCUAGUCAUUCACAUAUUUCUUACAAUAGACAUUC
Molecule: long non-coding RNA, 338 nt
Organism: Pseudophryne corroboree (corroboree frog)
Lineage: Eukaryota; Metazoa; Chordata; Amphibia; Anura; Myobatrachidae
Exons: 3
Source: RefSeq, a predicted model, not a curated record